This 504-nucleotide ribosomal RNA is filed under the name uncultured bacterium. RNAcentral's name for it is "partial 16S ribosomal RNA". It matches the Rfam family "Bacterial small subunit ribosomal RNA", at positions 29 to 523 of the family's 1533-position model. The record is from RNAcentral.
AUUGAACGCUGGCGGCAGGCCUAACACAUGCAAGUCGGACGGUAGCACAGAGAGCUUGCUCUCGGGUGACGAGUGGCGGACGGGUGAGUAAUGUCUGGGGAUCUGCCCGAUAGAGGGGGAUAACCACUGGAAACGGUGGCUAAUACCGCAUAACGUCGCAAGACCAAAGAGGGGGACCUUCGGGCCUCUCACUAUCGGAUGAACCCAGAUGGGAUUAGCUAGUAGGCGGGGUAACGGCCCACCUAGGCGACGAUCCCUAGCUGGUCUGAGAGGAUGACCAGCCACACUGGAACUGAGACACGGUCCAGACUCCUACGGGAGGCAGCAGUGGGGAAUAUUGCACAAUGGGCGCAAGCCUGAUGCAGCCAUGCCGCGUGUAUGAAGAAGGCCUUCGGGUUGUAAAGUACUUUCAGCGGGGAGGAAGGCGAUGUGGUUAAUAACCGCAUUGAUUGACGUUACCCGCAGAAGAAGCACCGGCUAGCUCCGUGCCAGCAGCCGCGGUAA